Molecule: long non-coding RNA, 487 nt
Organism: Lycium barbarum (goji berry)
Lineage: Eukaryota; Viridiplantae; Streptophyta; Magnoliopsida; Solanales; Solanaceae
Exons: 3
Source: RefSeq, a predicted model, not a curated record
UCAAGAAAACUAGAUCAAAAAUUUCAAGAACCACCCCACAAAGGGCUUCGGCCGAACCCAAAAAAGAAAAGAAAAAGAAAUUCCCAAGUUCUAUUGUUGAUCCAAAAAUCCAAAGUUUUCACAUAUUUGUGAAGUACUCAAGGCCCUCUUCAACGGGGUAUAAUUAGUUUGGCGCAAGAACGACGUUUACGACAAGUCGGGUUUUCAAGAAAAGAUUUUUGACGAAACGGAACUGGACUUUCGGGAGAGCUUACGACGUCUGUGAGGUGCAGAUAUCGGUGAUCCUCCGCAGUAGGCUUCACUUCUUGCUAUUCCGGAGUACUCCUAUUUGAUCCGGAGUCCACUUUUGGUACAGACUCUUUUUGCUUUGUAUAUAUUCGGUAUAUUUGACUAUUUGGGUACGGCGGGGCCCUGUCUCGCCAUAUGUCUUUGUUUUGAGUUCGUAGAGGCCUGUAGUCAUAUAUGUGGGGCGAGGGUCCUAUGUAUG